CACUUCCACACAGUCUGUAAUUCUCACUGCGUGGUGCAGAGCUUCAGAAGCAAGAUGAUUCUAAGUUACUGUAUAUUGAUUGCGUUAAUUCAGUAUACUCGUGGACAGUCAUUGACCUCCUCAGAGCCGGUGGUGGAGAAACCCGGGGCUUCAGUCACCCUGUCCUGUUCUGUAUCUGGACUUCCUCUUAGCUGGCUGCACUGGAUCCGUCAGAAACCCGGGAAGGGUCUAGAGUGGAUUGGUCGUAUUGACAGCGGCACAGGCACUAUAUUCGCCCAGUCUCUACAGGGCCAGUUCUCCAUCACUAAAGACACCAGUAAAAACAUGGUGUACCUGCAGGUGAAGAGCCUGAAAGCUGAAGACACGGCUGUUUAUUACUGUGCACGAGAAUCACACUGA
This is a non-coding RNA of Astyanax mexicanus (Mexican tetra), 399 nucleotides long. NCBI's taxonomy places the organism in Eukaryota, Metazoa, Chordata, Actinopteri, Characiformes, Acestrorhamphidae. The record is from the annotation of a RefSeq genome assembly.